This is a long non-coding RNA of Tyto alba (common barn owl), 322 nucleotides long. RefSeq lists it as uncharacterized. Lineage: Eukaryota; Metazoa; Chordata; Aves; Strigiformes; Tytonidae. The transcript is spliced from 3 exons. The record is from RefSeq and is a predicted model, not a curated record.
AAGCAGCUGGAGGACGUGCCUGGGUGGAAGGGGAGGCAGGGCCGGGCGGAGCGGGCGGUGCAGCCCCCGAGGUGCUGGCUGUGGGUGCUGCGAGCAGCCCUGAUACGGACCCUGCAGCCACGUGGCGCUGCCUGCGCCGGGUUCUGCCAACGCUCUUCGCUCUGACCUGAAGGGAUCACUGUGUCUUAGAUACCCUUCCUCAGCUGAGUGGCUCAGGCAGAGCUCCCGAGGGAUGAAUUAGAGAUAGCACGCGUGGAUCGGCUGGAGGAAAAAACUACAUUGAACGCGGCCAGAGAGCUCCUUUUUGGGGAAUAUUUGCAGA